RNAcentral lists this ribosomal RNA (253 nucleotides) under uncultured bacterium. RNAcentral's name for it is "partial 16S ribosomal RNA". It matches the Rfam family "Bacterial small subunit ribosomal RNA", at positions 524 to 776 of the family's 1533-position model. The record is from RNAcentral.
GACAGAGGGUGCAAACGUUGCUCGGAAUCACUGGGCGUAAAGGGCGUGUAGGCGGGAGAGAAAGUCGGGCGUGAAAUCCCUAGGCUCAACCUAGGAACUGCACUCGAAACUUCUUUUCUUGAGUGCCGGAGAGGAAAGCGGAAUACCUGGUGUAGAGGUGAAAUUCGUAGAUAUCAGGUGGAACACCAGUGGCGAAGGCGGCUUUCUGGUCUGCUCUUGACGCUGAGGCGCGAAAGCUAGGGUAGCAAACGGG